GGACUACCGGGGUUUCUAAUCCUGUUUGCUCCCCUAGCUUUCGUGCCUCAGUGUCAGGGGUUGUCCAGGGACUCGCUUUCGCCACUGGUGUUCCUCUCGAUAUCUACGCAUUUCACUGCUACACCGAGAAUUCCAGUCCCCCCUCCAACCCUCGAGCCGGAUAGUAUUCAAUGCGGUUUCCGAGUUGAGCUCGGAGAUUUCACAUCAAACUUACCCGGCCACCUACGCACCCUUUACGCCCAGUGAAUCCGAACAACGCUUGGGACCUCUGUAUUACCGCGGCUGCUGGCAC
RNAcentral lists this ribosomal RNA (292 nucleotides) under uncultured bacterium. Its description in RNAcentral is "partial 16S ribosomal RNA". The record is from RNAcentral. RNAcentral also lists the same sequence under 1 other name.